Molecule: non-coding RNA, 3000 nt
Organism: Ictidomys tridecemlineatus (thirteen-lined ground squirrel)
Lineage: Eukaryota; Metazoa; Chordata; Mammalia; Rodentia; Sciuridae
Source: RefSeq, a predicted model, not a curated record
CGGCCUUAGUCAGAGGCGGCUCGGGGCAGCGCGGCCCGCAUGGUGUCUCCCAAGCCUGGUCUCAGGGGUUCCUGCCCCCAGCCGUUCUGCCAGAUGACACUGAGCCAGGAGCCCUCAGGGUUCUAGAUGCCCCAGCCUCUGUGACAUCGUCCUGCCACCUGGGCCUGGGGCUGCUGGGACCUUCCCAGGCCCCCGACUGGGCCCAGGCGCCUCUGAAAACCCGCUCAAAGCUCAAAGCUCAGCGCACCUCGGCUCCCAGCACUCAGGGACCCACAGAGGGACCAGUGUCCCCAACACGGGUUCAGUCCUCAAAAGCCCACAGAGAAGAUGCCAUUGUCACCCUCCUCUGAGACUCCAGAGGACCUGGCUUGUUGCCCCCCAUGGGUUCAGUCUUAAGACCAAAGCCACUCCCCUACCCUGCCCCCGGCCCCCUGCCAGCCACAGUUCCCUGCUGGCCUCCAGCACGGCUCUGCCCUGCCUCAGGGCCUUUGCACGACUGCACCUGUGCCUGGAGACCCUCCGUCCUCCAGAGCCCAGGCCCCUGGUCACCUAAUCCAGAGCAGCCCCUGCACCCCACCUCGGAGUUCUGACUGCGCGUCCCUCGAGCGCAGGGCCUCGACUACUAUCUGCCUCCCCCAUGGACCACAAGUUCCUGGGGAGAGGCCUCGGCUGUCCUCAGCCUCCAGAAGAGCCCCUGGCACAUAGUAGGUCCUCGGUAUACAUCUGUGAAGGAACCAGCGGUCCUCAACGCCCAUUUUAUGAAUGAGACCAUAAAAUUCAGAAUCCCGGCUCGCCGGCAGGGCGCUAAGUCCCCUUCUGUGGGCACUCAGCACCCGCCACCCCCGCCUACUUCUCCUUCAAACUCAGCGUGGGGGGCGGGGGCAGGGGGACAGGUGGAGCUCAGGAAGGCGGCCAGAGCAGACCUCGGGGACAUCAGAGGCCCCACCCUGGAGCUUCCUCUCUGUAGGGAGUCGGGGAGCUGGAGGUGCCACACUCCCUUCUCCAUCUUUCUGCUCCGUCCACGUCUUACCACUGGACGGUCAUGGACUUAAGAGAACCCGUCAGUUUGUGUCACUAGGAGACCUGGAGUGUGGGCCUCAGGUGCGGCUGGCUCCAGGCACUGGAAAUGGCAAUCAGGAAGGUGCUUCUCUCCCUCUUGGAUUGCCUCGUGCUGUCUGGGCUGGGCUCAGUUGGUCAGGCCUGCAUCUGGCCAGCUCGGCCACCGGGAGCAAAGCUCUCAUUAGGCCCCCUCUGGGGGGGGGAGGCUGGCUUUGCCAUUUUGGCGAGGGGGGGACAGGGCUGCUGCUUUCUCCUGUUUCCCGUCAGGGUCUGGACACGGAGGCCAGCGCGGACCACAGCCUUCCCAAGGGAGGCUCUUCACGACGCUGCCUCCAGCCGCGGCCUCCCCCUCGCUGCGGAUCGCGACGCUCCUCCGGCCUCGGCUCAGCUUCGCCGGGCGCCCCAGCGUCGCGCGCGGUUCUUGCUGGUGACCCGCAGUCUGCGCUGCCCUCUGGGCGCGACUCGCCUCUCAGUGAAGGACGACAACGGUACCACCUACCUCUGGCGACAUCUGCUCGGGGCCAACGGCAGGGCGUGUCCGAGGGCUCUUCUUGUGGCGCAAGUGGACUCUGAGCGUCGAGGGGCAGGGCAGGGCAGCCGGCCUGCGGGCCCCACCCCUGCUCCAGGUGACACACAGAGGAUUCAGGCAGCUUGAAGGCCAAAUGCCACCUUCCUGGAUACAGCUGAGCUGCCCCAGUGAGGCCAGAGAGCUGGGAACGCGGCUGGCGGGGCCAUGGCACAGAGGGAGCAUGAGGAAGAAUGGGUAAGGAAAGUGAAAGAAGACCCUGGAGGUCCUAGUGGACCACAGCAAGAUUUCCCUGUGUUCCAGGUGCAAUCAAGAUUCCAGGGGGCCAGGGAUUGACUCACAUCUUGACGUUGUCUCCGGCGGAAUAGAUUGAAGGGUGGUGAGGGUGGCCAUGAGGACCAGGGCAGUCGUCCUGCAGGGAGCCAUGGUGGAGACUGGAGAAUGGGGACGGGAGGAGGGACAGACUGGGACAGUUUGAGCUCAUCUAAGCCUUGACUGACGCCAACUGAAAACCUGGCUCCGCGCCCUCCUGGUGGGAGGCAGGGAGGGAAGGGCUCCGUCUCCUCGUCCCCCCGGAGGCCUCUGUGCCCACGAGGGGCUGUGCGGGGUCCUCCGCGCAGGGACCAUCACUGGCGGCCAGGCUCUGGAGGGCGCCUGCCUCCUCAGCCUCCCUGCCUCCGUCCUGGGCUCCACUCCCCCUCGCUGUCUCCCUUUACCCACAAUGCACUUCACAGCGGCUCCCGCUGCCCCGUCCUGACCUCGGGGCACCCCUCACCCCAGGGGACCCCUGAUUCUGCUCCUGCCCUGAAAAACGCCAGCCCCUCGGCUCAGGACCCACCAAAUAGGGCUCCUUGUCCAUCGCUGGCAGGACACGGGUGGCAGCCUGCCCGGGGACAGCGGGGGAAACUGGGUCACACCCGGAUGCGCUCCCGUGACCGAAACACCUCGCGGCGGUUCUGCCCAGUGCCAGAAGCCCUUUGACUCAGAAAUUCCAUCUGUGGCCUUUCAUCUCGCGGUGACACCGGCUGAGUGCAGUGUGACCGUGACUGGAGACAGAGCAACUGUGUUCCCAGCCAGAGGAAGCGAGCCAGCAGCUCCCGGCCUGGCCAGGCAGAGGAGUACUCCACGGCCCUGAAAAGGAGCGGGGCGCCCCCACGUGCUGACGUGGCGCAGGGGAAGACGGGAAGGGCUGAGCGCGCAGGCGAGGGCACCCGGCACUGUUGGCCAAGCAGGGAGAAGCCCCCACUCGCCUCCCGCGCACUGGGCGCACACGCUGCACACCUGCGGCUCCAAGCACCGGUUGUGAGCGUGAGGCAGAAACUCUGGUGGGCUGAAGGGGCACAGACGGUUCUCUUGUCCCCCAGCAGCCCAGCGCUCUGGCCUCCCCACGACCAAUAAAAGUGUUGCCAUCAGGA